ACACUCCUACGGGAGGCAGCAGUGGGGAAUAUUGGACAAUGGGCGCAAGCCUGAUCCAGCCAUGCCGCGUGAGUGAUGAAGGCCCUAGGGUUGUAAAGCUCUUUCACCGGUGAAGAUAAUGACGGUAACCGGAGAAGAAGCCCCGGCUAACUUCGUGCCAGCAGCCGCGGUAAUACGAAGGGGGCUAGCGUUGUUCGGAUUUACUGGGCGUAAAGCGCACGUAGGCGGACUAUUAAGUCAGGGGUGAAAUCCCGGGGCUCAACCCCGGAACUGCCUUUGAUACUGGUAGUCUUGAGUUCGAGAGAGGUGAGUGGAAUUCCGAGUGUAGAGGUGAAAUUCGUAGAUAUUCGGAGGAACACCAGUGGCGAAGGCGGCUCACUGGCUCGAUACUGACGCUGAGGUGCGAAAGCGUGGGGAGCAAACAGGAUUAGAAACCCCUGUAGUCC
RNAcentral lists this ribosomal RNA (446 nucleotides) under uncultured organism. Its description in RNAcentral is "partial 16S ribosomal RNA". It matches the Rfam family "Bacterial small subunit ribosomal RNA", at positions 333 to 796 of the family's 1533-position model. The record is from RNAcentral.